This 232-nucleotide ribosomal RNA is filed under the name uncultured bacterium. Its description in RNAcentral is "partial 16S ribosomal RNA". It matches the Rfam family "Bacterial small subunit ribosomal RNA", at positions 99 to 334 of the family's 1533-position model. The record is from RNAcentral.
CGGACGGGUGAGUAAUGUCUGGGAAACUGCCCGAUGGAGGGGGAUAACUACUGGAAACGGUAGCUAAUACCGCAUAAUGUCUACGGACCAAAGCGGGGGACCUCCGGGCCUCUUGCCAUCGGAUGUGCCCAGAUGGGAUUAGCUAGUAGGUGGGGUAACGGCUCACCUAGGCGACGAUCCCUAGCUGGUCUGAGAGGAUGACCAGCCACACUGGAACUGAGACACGGUCCAG